This 250-nucleotide ribosomal RNA is filed under the name uncultured bacterium. Its description in RNAcentral is "partial 16S ribosomal RNA". It matches the Rfam family "Bacterial small subunit ribosomal RNA", at positions 525 to 776 of the family's 1533-position model. The record is from RNAcentral.
ACGGGAGGGGCGAGCGUUAUUCGGAAUUAUUGGGCGUAAAGAGUUCGUAGACGGUAUUAUAAGUUAUUUGUUAAAUUUUAAAGUUAAUUUUAAACGAGCAUUUAAUACUAUUUUACUUGAGUUUGAAUUAGAAGAAUAGAAUUCCAUGUGGAGAAGUAAUAUUUGUAGAUAUAUGGAGGAAUACCAGAAGUGAAGACGAUUCUUUAUUAAAAACUGACGUUGAGGAACGAAAGUGUAGGUAGCAAACAGG